RNAcentral lists this ribosomal RNA (250 nucleotides) under uncultured prokaryote. Its description in RNAcentral is "partial 16S ribosomal RNA". It matches the Rfam family "Bacterial small subunit ribosomal RNA", at positions 524 to 773 of the family's 1533-position model. The record is from RNAcentral.
UACGUAGGGGGCAAGCGUUAUCCGGAUUUACUGGGUGUAAAGGGAGCGUAGACGGAAAUUUAAGUCUGAAGUGAAAUGCCGGGGCUCAACCCCGGAGCUGCUUUGGAAACUGGGUUUCUGGAGUACGGGAGAGGUAAGCGGAAUUCCUGGUGUAGCGGUGAAAUGCGUAGAUAUCAGGAGGAACACCGGAGGCGAAGGCGGCUUACUGGACCGUAACUGACGUUGAGGCUCGAAGGCGUGGGGAGCAAAC